Molecule: long non-coding RNA, 481 nt
Filed under: Gallus gallus (chicken)
Lineage: Eukaryota; Metazoa; Chordata; Aves; Galliformes; Phasianidae
Description: long non-coding RNA NONGGAT005578
Source: RNAcentral
CACGGAGCGUGCCCGGCGUAGCACGAGCCUGGCCCGACGCGGCGCGGCGCUACGUUGAAUGGCAGCGGCAUAGUGCAGCAUAGCACAGCAUGGCAUGGCCUGGCCUGGCACAGCAUAGCACAGCGUGGAGGUGACCAGGCUGGUUGGUGAACAGGGAAACAUGUCUGGGUGCUGUUGCCACGGUUGUUGAACACUCAGCAUGCAUGGAGGUGAUGUUGCAGACCCGGAGCAUUCAGCCAUAUUCGGCCAUGCCAGUAAAGAGCAGCAGCUGCCUCCUUUGUGUCCUGGUUAGUGAAGCUUCAUUUGGCCCUGACGCAGUUUGGGGCACCCCUGAGUUAAACCUGGAGGCAGUCCAGGUGAUGUGACACUGACAGAGCAAUGGAAGCCCACAGCUUGGCAGAUGAUUUGAAGCUGUGAGGACGUGGGAGGCGAAAUGCACUUUGAGUCUUCUUUGUCAGGAGGUUUCAGAAGGGUGGGAAGG